Molecule: ribosomal RNA, 440 nt
Filed under: uncultured bacterium
Lineage: Bacteria
Description: partial 16S ribosomal RNA
Rfam family: Bacterial small subunit ribosomal RNA
Source: RNAcentral
CCUACGGGUGGCAGCAGUGGGGGAUAUUGCACAAUGGGGGAACCCUGAUGCAGCGACGCCGCGUGGGUGAAGGAGCGUUUCGGCGCGUAAAGCCCUAUCGGCAGGGAAGAAGGAGGACGGUACCUGACUAAGAAGCCCCGUCUAAAUACGUGCCAGCAGCCGCGGUAAUACGUAGGGGGCAAGCGUUAUCCGGAUUUACUGGGUGUAAAGGGGGCGCAGACGGCAGCGAAAGCCAGGAGUGAAAGCACGGGGCCCAAACCCGGGACUGCUCUUGAGACUGCGCGGCUGGAGUGCAGGAGAGGCAGGCGGAAUACCUGAUGUAGCGGUGAAAUGCGUAGAUAUCAGGAGGAACACCGAUGGCGAAGGCAGCCUGCUGGACUGCGACUGACGUUGAGGCCCGAGAGCGUGGGGAGCGAACAGGAUUAGAUACCCGGGUAGUC